UACGGGGGGGGCAAGCGUUGUUCGGAAUUACUGGGCGUAAAGGGCGCGUAGGCGGCCUGCUAAGUCGGAUGUGAAAUCCCUCGGCUUAACCGGGGAACUGCGUCUGAUACUGGAUGGCUUGAAUCCGGGAGAGGGAUGCGGAAUUCCAGGUGUAGCGGUGAAAUGCGCAGAUAUCAGGAAGAACACCAAUGGCGAAGGCAGCUCUCUGGGACGGUACUGACGCUGAGACGCGAAAGCGUGGGGAGCGAACAGG
RNAcentral lists this ribosomal RNA (253 nucleotides) under uncultured bacterium. RNAcentral's name for it is "partial 16S ribosomal RNA". It matches the Rfam family "Bacterial small subunit ribosomal RNA", at positions 524 to 776 of the family's 1533-position model. The record is from RNAcentral.